RNAcentral lists this ribosomal RNA (375 nucleotides) under uncultured bacterium. Its description in RNAcentral is "bacterial SSU rRNA". It matches the Rfam family "Bacterial small subunit ribosomal RNA", at positions 521 to 896 of the family's 1533-position model. The record is from RNAcentral.
UAAGACGAACUGUCCUAACGUUGUUCGGAAUCACUGGGCUUAAAGGGCGCGUAGGCGGUCUGGUAAGUCGGGGGUGAAAUCCUGCAGCUCAACUGUAGAAGUGCCUUCGAUACUGCCAGUCUGGAGGGAGAUAGGGGUGUGUGGAACUUCCAGUGGAGCGGUGAAAUGCGUUGAUAUUGGAAGGAACGCCGGAGGCGAAAGCGACGCACUGGAUCUCUUCUGACGCUGAGGCGCGAAAGCUAGGGGAGCAAACGGGAUUAGAUACCCCGGUAGUCCUAGCCCUAAACGAUGAGUACUAGAUUGUAGACUAUCAUGGGUUUACAGUCGAAGCAAAAGUUUUAAGUACUCCGCCUGGGGAGUAUGGUCGCAAGGCUG